This 301-nucleotide ribosomal RNA is filed under the name uncultured bacterium. RNAcentral's name for it is "partial 16S ribosomal RNA". It matches the Rfam family "Bacterial small subunit ribosomal RNA", at positions 509 to 809 of the family's 1533-position model. The record is from RNAcentral.
CAGCCGCCACGGUAAUACGGAGGGUGCAAGCGUUAAUCGGAAUUACUGGGCGUAAAGCGCACGCAGGCGGUCUGUCAAGUCAGAUGUGAAAUCCCCGGGCUUAACCUGGGAACUGCAUUUGAAACUGGCAGGCUAGAGUCUUGUAGAGGGGGGUAGAAUUCCAGGUGUAGCGGUGAAAUGCGUAGAGAUCUGGAGGAAUACCGGUGGCGAAGGCGGCCCCCUGGACAAAGACUGACGCUCAGGUGCGAAAGCGUGGGGAGCAAACAGGAUUAGAUACCCGCGUAGUCCUGUCUCUUAUACA